Molecule: ribosomal RNA, 119 nt
Organism: Scophthalmus maximus (turbot)
Lineage: Eukaryota; Metazoa; Chordata; Actinopteri; Pleuronectiformes; Scophthalmidae
Source: Ensembl
AGCUACGGCCACACCGCCUGGUUCACGCCCGAUCUCGUUUUAUCUCGGAAGCUAAGAUAGGGUGGGCCUGGUUAGUACUUGGAUGGGAGACCGCCUGGGAAUACCAGGUGCUGUAAGAU